RNAcentral lists this unclassified non-coding RNA (253 nucleotides) under uncultured Rickettsiales bacterium. RNAcentral's name for it is "contains 16S-23S intergenic spacer region". It matches the Rfam family "Bacterial small subunit ribosomal RNA", at positions 524 to 776 of the family's 1533-position model. The record is from RNAcentral. Lineage: Bacteria; Pseudomonadati; Pseudomonadota; Alphaproteobacteria; Rickettsiales.
UACGAAGGGUGCAAGCGUUGUUCGGAAUCACUGGGCGUAAAGCGCACGCAGGCGGACUAUUAAGCCAGAGGUGAAAGCCCGGGGCUCAACCCCGGAAUUGCCUUUGGAACUGGUAGUCUAGAGUAUGAUAGGGGGUGGUGGAAUUCCUAGUGUAGAGGUGAAAUUCGUAGAUAUUAGGAGGAACACCAGAGGCGAAGGCGACCACCUGGGUCAUUACUGACGCUCAUGUGCGAAAGCGUGGGGAGCAAACAGG